RNAcentral lists this ribosomal RNA (787 nucleotides) under Pyura spinifera. RNAcentral describes it as "SSU rRNA". It matches the Rfam family "Eukaryotic small subunit ribosomal RNA", at positions 451 to 1240 of the family's 1831-position model. Lineage: Eukaryota; Metazoa; Chordata; Ascidiacea; Stolidobranchia; Pyuridae. The record is from RNAcentral.
CCGACACGGGGAGGUAGUGACGAAAAAUAACAAUACAGGACUCUAACGAGGCCCUGUAAUUGGAAUGAGUACAUUCUAAAACUCUUAACGAGUAUCCAUUGGAGGGCAAGUCUGGUGCCAGCAGCCGCGGUAAUUCCAGCUCCAACAGUGUAUGCUAAAGUUGUUGCGGUUGAAAAGCUCGUAGUUGGAUCUAGGGUGGGCGCCGCCGGUCCGUCGCAAGGCGUGUCACUGGCGGCGUCUGCCUUGCCUUCGGUUCUCCGUCGGUGCUCUUGACUGAGUGUCGGCGGUGGCCGAUAAGUUUACUUUGAAAAAAUUAGAGUGUUCAAAGCAGGCUGUUCGCCUGCAUAGUGUUGCAUGGAAUAAUGGAAUAGGACCUCGGUUCUAUUUUGUUGGUUUUCGGAGCACGAGGUAAUGAUUAAGAGGGACAGACGGGGGCGUCCGUACUCUGCCGUUAGAGGUGAAAUUCUUGGAUCGGCGGAAGACGAACUACUGCGAAAGCAUUCGCCAAGAAUGUUUUCUUUAAUCAAGAGCGAAAGUCAGAGGUUCGAAGACGAUCAGAUACCGUCCUAGUUCUGACUAUAAACGAUGCCAACUAGCGAUCGGGAGGCGUUACCAUGACGACCUUCCCGGCAGCUUCCGGGAAACCAAAGUCUUUGGGUUCUGGGGGAAGUAUGGUUGCAAAGCUGAAACUUAAAGGAAUUGACGGAAGGGCACCACCAGGAGUGGAGCCUGCGGCUUAAUUUGACUCAACACGGGGAAACUCACCCGGCCCGGACACAGGAAGGAU